AUACCGUAUAAUCCCCGCGGGGGAAAGAUUUAUCGCUAUUAGAUGAGCCUAUGUCGGAUUAGCUAGUUGGUGGGGUAAUGGCCUACCAAGGCAGUGAUCUGUAGCUGGUCUGAGAGGAUGAUCAGCCACACUGGAACUGAGACACGGUCCAGACUCCUACGGGAGGCAGCAGUGGGGAAUAUUGGACAAUGGGCGCAAGCCUGAUCCAGCUAUGCCGCGUGAGUGAGGAAGGCCUUAGGGUUGUAAAACUCUUUCAGUAGGGAAGAUAAUGACGGUACCUACAGAAGAAGUCCCGGCAAACUCCGUGCCAGCAGCCGCGGUAAUACGGAGGGGGCAAGCGUUGUUCGGAAUUAUUGGGCGUAAAGGGCAUGUAGGCGGUUUGGUAAGUUAAAGGUGAAAUACCAGGGCUUAACCCUGGGGCUGCUUUUAAUACUGCAGGACUAGAGUCCGGAAGAGGAU
Molecule: ribosomal RNA, 459 nt
Filed under: uncultured Anaplasma sp.
Lineage: Bacteria; Pseudomonadati; Pseudomonadota; Alphaproteobacteria; Rickettsiales; Anaplasmataceae
Description: bacterial SSU rRNA
Rfam family: Bacterial small subunit ribosomal RNA
Source: RNAcentral